UAUCCCCAAUCCCGAGCUGCGCCGCCACCCACCUCGUUUUCUCCACGUGCAAACGUUUGCGUGCCUACCCAAUCCCCUCUCAGCUAACCAAUCCUUGCCCCAGAUCCCCGAUUCUGCUCAACCGAGGAGCUCCUCGCGAGCAGAGCAGUCGGGCGCGUCCAGCGCUUGCAGCGGGGCGUACGCGUACCCGCAGAGCCACGGAGCCCUUCCUAGUGCCUGACCCCUCCCCGCCUCGACCACGGCGCUGGAGCCCCAUGCCGGCCAGAGCUCUCCAGCCCGCCUCGCCGGAGCACCAGGUCGACCCC
Molecule: long non-coding RNA, 305 nt
Filed under: Hordeum vulgare
Lineage: Eukaryota; Viridiplantae; Streptophyta; Magnoliopsida; Poales; Poaceae
Description: long non-coding RNA (HVUL_LNC000676)
Source: RNAcentral